This 493-nucleotide ribosomal RNA is filed under the name uncultured bacterium. Its description in RNAcentral is "partial 16S ribosomal RNA". It matches the Rfam family "Bacterial small subunit ribosomal RNA", at positions 28 to 507 of the family's 1533-position model. The record is from RNAcentral.
GACGAACGCUGGCGGCGUGCCUAAUACAUGCAAGUUGAGCGACGAACCAGGGCUUGCCCUGGGGCAAAGCAGCGAACGGGUGAGUAACACGUGGGUAACCUACCCCGAUAACCGGGACAACCCGAGGAAACUCGGGCUAAUACCGGAUGUGCUCACUGGACUUCGGUUCAGUGCGUAAAGGAAGCUUCGGCCUCCGUAUCGGGAGGGGCCCGCGGCCCAUUAGUUUGUUGGUGAGGUAACGGCUCACCAAGACCGCGAUGGGUAGCUGGUCUGAGAGGACGAUCAGCCACACUGGGACUGAGACACGGCCCAGACUCCUACGGGAGGCAGCAGUGGGGAAUCUUGCGCAAUGCGCGAAAGCGUGACGCAGCAACGCCGCGUGGGGGAAGAAGGCCUUCGGGUUGUAAACCCCUUUCAGGAGGGACGAAGGUUCGGCGGUGAAUAGCCGUCCGGACUGACGGUACCUCCACAAGAAGCCCCGGCUAACUACGUG